GAGAUAGCUGGUUCUCCCCGAAAUAGCUUUAGGGCUAGCCUCAGGGAAAAGAUUGCAGGCGGUAGAGCACUGAUCAGGAGAGGGACCUACCCGGUUACCAAACCCAGUCAAACUCCGAAUGGCUGCAAUCAUACCUGGGAGUCAGACUGCGACUAAUAAGGGCCGCAGUCAAAAGGGAAACAGCCCAGACCAUCAGCUAAGGUCCCCAAUGCCGUGCUAAGUGGCGAAGGAUGUGGCAUUUCAUAAACAACCAGGAUGUUGGCUCAGAAGCAGCCACCAUUUAAAGAGUGCGUAAUAGCUCACUGGUCGAGAGACGCUGCGCCGAAAAUGUCCGGGGCUCAAGCACGGAACCGAAGCUAUGGCAUGAUAGCAAUAUCAUGGGUAGGGGAGCGUUCUUAUAAGGAAGAAGCAUGACCGGAAGGACAUGUGGACAAAUAAGAAGUGAGAAUGCCGGUAUGAGUAUCGAAAAGAAAGGUGAGAAUCCUUUCCACCGAAAGCCCGAGGGUUCCUGAGCAACGAUCGUCGACUCAGGGUAAGUCGGGACCUAAGCCGAGGCGAAAAGCGUAGGCGAUGGACAACAGGUUGAAAUUCCUGUACCGGAUCAAGUCGAUUGAGCGAAGGAGCGACGCAGGAGGGCACAUGAUCGCGCGGGUGGAAGAGCGCGUCCAAGUGCGUAUGUUGCAGCAGAGGAAAACCCCUGCAGCUGAAAGCAGAGACAUGAAGGGGAGUUAAAGGAAACUUUGACGAACUCAUGAAUCCCACACUGCCAAGAAAAACUUCUAGCGAGACAAGAUCCGCCCGUACCGUAAACCGACACAGGUAGGCGGGGAGAGAAUCCUAAGGUGCGCGGGAAAACCCUCGUUAAGGAACUCGGCAAAUUGCAUCCGUAACCUAGGGAGAAGGAUGGCCCCCGGUCAGUGAAGAGCAGAAACGCUCAGAGCUAAAAGGGGCGGCAGAAAAGAGGCCCAAGCAACUGUUUACCAAAAACACAGGUGCCUGCGAAAGCGAAAGCUGAAGUAUAGGUGCUGACGCCUGCCCGGUGCCGGAAGGUUAAGGAGAGAAGUUAGCGAAAGCGAAGCAUCGAACUGAAGCCCCGGUGAACGGCGGCCGUAACUAUAACGGUCCUAAGGUAGCGAAAUUCCUUGUCGGGUAAGUUCCGACCCGCAUGAAAGGCGUAAUGAUUUGGGCACUGUCUCAACGAGGGGCCCGGUGAAAUUGAAAUACCUGUGAAGAUGCAGGUUACCCGCGACUGGACAGAAAGACCCCAUGGAGCUUCACUGCAGCUUGAGAUUGAAUCCCGGUGACAGAUGCACAGGAUAGGUGGGAGGCGCCGAAGCAUUGCCCUAGGGCGGUGCGGAGCCGAUGUUGGGAUACCACCCUUCUGUUGCUGAGAUUCUAACGCGAGGAGUAACGACCCUGCGGACCCUCUCAGGCAGGCGGUUUGACUGGGGCGGUCGCCUCCGAAAGAGUAACGGAGGCGCCCAAAGGUUCCCUCAGGCCGGACAGAAACCGGCCGAAGAGUGCAAAGGCAGAAGGGAGCUUGACUGCGAGACCAACAAGUCGAGCAGAGACGAAAGUCGGGCUUAGUGAUCCGGUGGUACUGAGUGGAAAGGCCAUCGCUCAACGGAUAAAAGCUACCCUGGGGAUAACAGGC
This 1654-nucleotide ribosomal RNA is filed under the name human gut metagenome. Its description in RNAcentral is "bacterial LSU rRNA". It matches the Rfam family "Bacterial large subunit ribosomal RNA", at positions 842 to 2482 of the family's 2925-position model. The record is from RNAcentral.